This 433-nucleotide ribosomal RNA is filed under the name uncultured bacterium. RNAcentral's name for it is "partial 16S ribosomal RNA". It matches the Rfam family "Bacterial small subunit ribosomal RNA", at positions 29 to 507 of the family's 1533-position model. The record is from RNAcentral.
AACGAACGCUGGCGGCAUGCCUAACACAUGCAAGUCGAACGAGACCUUCGGGUCUAGUGGCGCACGGGUGCGUAACGCGUGGGAACCUGCCCUUAGGUUCGGAAUAACUCCCCGAAAGGGGUGCUAAUACCGGAUAAUGUCUUCGGACCAAAGAUUUAUCGCCUUUGGAUGGGCCGGCGUUGGAUUAGCUAGUUGGUAGGGAAAAAGCCUACCAAGGCGCCGAUCCAUAGCUGGUCUGAGAGCAUGAUCAGCCACACUGGGACUGAGACACGGCCCAGACUCCUACGGGAGGCAGCAGUGGGGAAUAUUGGACAAUGGGCGAAAGCCUGAUCCAGCAAUGCCGCGUGAGUGAUGAAGGCCUUAGGGUUGUAAAGCUCUUUUACCCGGGAUGAUAAUGACAGUACCGGGAGAAUAAGCUCCGGCUAACUCCGUG